GAAAUGCGAUAAGUAGUGUGAAUUGCAGAAUUCAGUGAAUCAUCGAAUCUUUGAACGCACAUUGCGCCCUUUGGUAUUCCUUAGGGCAUGCCUGUUCGAGCGUCAUCUAAACCUUCAAGCCCUGCUUGGUGUUGGGUGCCUGUCCCGCCUCCGCGCGCGGACUCACCUCAAAUCCAUUGGCGGCCCCCGCGUCGGCCACGAGCGCAGCAGAAACGCGAACUCGUGAGCCCGUCCGGGCGGCUCCCAGAAGCUACACCCACCCAGUUUGACCUCGGAUCAGGUAGGGAUACACGCUGGACUUAAGC
RNAcentral lists this unclassified non-coding RNA (305 nucleotides) under plant metagenome. Its description in RNAcentral is "partial contains 5.8S ribosomal RNA, internal transcribed spacer 2, and large subunit ribosomal RNA". The stretch from base 1 to 105 matches the Rfam family "5.8S ribosomal RNA", at positions 50 to 154 of the family's 154-position model. The record is from RNAcentral.